CCGAGUUUACAACUCCCAAGCCCAAUGUGAACGUUACCAAACUGUUGCCUCGGCGGGAUCUCUGCCCCGGGUGCGUCGCAGCCCCGGACCAAGGCGCCCGCCGGAGGACCAACCAAAACUCUUAUUGUAUACCCCCUCGCGGGUUUUUUUUAUAAUCUGAGCCUUCUCGGCGCCUCUCGUAGGCGUUUCGAAAAUGAAUCA
RNAcentral lists this unclassified non-coding RNA (201 nucleotides) under soil metagenome. RNAcentral's name for it is "partial internal transcribed spacer 1". The record is from RNAcentral.